Echinops telfairi (small Madagascar hedgehog) is the source of this 574-nucleotide long non-coding RNA. RefSeq lists it as uncharacterized. The record is from RefSeq and is a predicted model, not a curated record. The transcript has 2 exons. NCBI's taxonomy places the organism in Eukaryota, Metazoa, Chordata, Mammalia, Afrosoricida, Tenrecidae.
AGAAAUGUGGCAGUCUGCUUUUGUGAAGAUUGCAGCUUUGGAGAUCCUGUGAGCACUUCUAGACUGUUCUCGAGGGUCACUGUGAGUCCAAAUAGACUGAGUGGCAAGAGGCAUGUAGCCCACGUGGGUUAUGCAAGAUGUGCUUAAUUUAUACCCCUCUUUAAUGUUGUAUGCCACAAAACACAUAAACAGACUUAUUAAAGAAAUAAAAAUGAAUGAUAAAAAUAUAUCAAUACACAAGAAAAGUUUCUCUUAAACUUUUUGAGGAAGAAAAAUAGGAAUAGUAUCUCUUAAGAGUAGUAUUCACUUGAAUUUCUGACAUCCGGAAAGAGUUUUUGUUGUGUAUUUAUUUAGCCUGGAGCAGUGUUUCCCAGCCUGGUGAUACCACCCUCUAGUCUGGUGAUACCACCCUCUGGGGGCUCUAGAAUGAUCCAGGAGAUGAGCUGCAAAAACAGAUGUUGUGUGCUCUUUUGCUGUUACUAUUGCCCUCGCUUCGCUGCCUAUCCCAGGGCCUCCUCUGCUCAGUACAACAAUAUGUGUUUUAAAAAUAAAAAUUGAACUGAUUACCUCUAAA